This 27-nucleotide non-coding RNA is filed under the name Mus musculus (house mouse). The record is from RNAcentral. Lineage: Eukaryota; Metazoa; Chordata; Mammalia; Rodentia; Muridae.
CCAUACUGGAUUUAACAAACUGCACUG